UACGUAGGGUGCGAGCGUUUGUCCGGAAUUUAUUGGGCGUAAAGGGCUCGUAGGCGGUUUUGUCGCGUCGGGAGUGAAAACCCAGGGCUUAACCCUGGGCUGGCUUCCGAUACGGGCAGACUAGAGGUAUGCAGGGGAGAACGGAAUUCCUGGUGUAGCGGUGAAAUGCGUAGAUAUCUGGAGGAACACCGGUGGCGAAGGCGGCAUCCUGGACCAAUACUGACGCUGAGGAGCGAAAGGCCAGGGGAGCAAACGGG
This 257-nucleotide ribosomal RNA is filed under the name uncultured bacterium. RNAcentral's name for it is "partial 16S ribosomal RNA". It matches the Rfam family "Bacterial small subunit ribosomal RNA", at positions 524 to 776 of the family's 1533-position model. The record is from RNAcentral.